AACGAACGCUGGCGGCAUGCCUAACACAUGCAAGUCGAACGAGACCUUCGGGUCUAGUGGCGCACGGGUGCGUAACGCGUGGGAACCUGCCCUUAGGUUCGGAAUAACUCCCCGAAAGGGGUGCUAAUACCGGAUAAUGUCUUCGGACCAAAGAUUUAUCGCCUUUGGAUGGGCACGAGUUGGAUUAGAUAGUUGGUAGGGUAAAAGCCUACCAAGGCGCCGAUCCAUAGCUGGUCUGAGAGGAUGAUCAGCCACACUGGGACGGAGACACGGCCCAGACUCCUACGGGAGGCAGCAGUGGGGAAUAGUGGACAAUGGGCGAAAGCAUGAUCCAGCAAUGACGCGUGAGUGAUGAAGGCCUUAGGGUUGUAAAGCUCUUUUACCCGGGAUGAUAAUGACAGUACCGGGAGAAUAAGCUCCGGCUAACUACGUG
Molecule: ribosomal RNA, 433 nt
Filed under: uncultured bacterium
Lineage: Bacteria
Description: partial 16S ribosomal RNA
Rfam family: Bacterial small subunit ribosomal RNA
Source: RNAcentral